RNAcentral lists this ribosomal RNA (286 nucleotides) under uncultured Rhabdochlamydiaceae bacterium. RNAcentral's name for it is "partial 16S ribosomal RNA". It matches the Rfam family "Bacterial small subunit ribosomal RNA", at positions 355 to 633 of the family's 1533-position model. The record is from RNAcentral. Lineage: Bacteria; Pseudomonadati; Chlamydiota; Chlamydiia; Parachlamydiales; Candidatus Rhabdochlamydiaceae.
UCGAGGAUCAUUCGCAAUGAGCGAAAGCUUGACGAUGCGACGCUGUGUGAACGAUGAAGGCCUUCGGGUCGUAAAGUUCUUUCGCUUGGGAACAAGAGAUUGCGGUGAAUAACCGUGAAAUUUGAGGGUACCAGGUAAAGAAGCACCGGCUAACUCCGUGCCAGCAGCUGCGGUAAUACGGAGGGUGCAAGCAUUAAUCGGAUUUAUUGGGCGUAAAGGGCGCGUAGGCGGUUAUGUAAGUCAGAUGUGAAAUACCGAAGCUCAACUUCGGUGCUGCAUUUGAAAC